GCCCAGCUUGAGGAGGCCGUGUACUUGGACGCUCGGUUCUGCUAAAACCCUAAACCCUCGUGCCGUGAGCAGCCAAUCCUGAACCUCCUCCGGAUCCAUUUCAGAUCUUCUUCUUCAAUGGCUUCAGCCUGCAACAGAAUCUUCAGCAGAGCAUCCGUAUCGUCCAUCAAAUCCGCCAUCAAAUCCAAAAUCCCUACAUCUCCCCUCGCCAGAUCCGCCACUCCCACCUCUCCACGCUUCCCUCUCCCCUCCACGUCCACUUCCCCUCCUCGUCGCCGAUUUUCACUCUCCAGGUCUCCAGCGGAACUGGGAAGCGUUCAGUCAAUCUUUCCUCUGCACAGCGCGGUGGCGGCGGCUCGAAUGACAUCGUGCCUCAGCACAACUUCGAGGAAUUGCCGAGCGCUCUCGCAGGGUACACUCUGCUGCACCUCUCCAGACCUCUAAUAUCAUGCACAUAAUAUGAGUGUCGUUGAAAGAAAUAAAAUGGGAAUUUGCGGGGCCUGCCAAUUAUCAAUGUAAGGAUACCGAAUGCAAGAGUUACCAUGAUAAUUACCAAAAGUAUUGGAAAUCUUAACAAGGGGAAGGAUUUCAAAGGUGACAUUGCAAGAUCUCUGAAAAUAGGAUGGAAUUGAUGGUACGUGAGACAUAUGUGCUGUAUUUGGAGGUGCGCCCUGCAUCUUUGCUCCAAUUUAUUCAAAUUAAAACAAGAGCUUGGUCUGUCGGUUCCAAGGUGACAAUAUAGCAGUCCACCAUGACAAGAGGUUAUCUUCACAAGAAUGGAAAAUCUUGCACCAAGAUCUUGUGGCUUUUGUUUUUGAAGUUCAGUCAUUUUAGAAGAUACAGCUUGACCCUUGAAAGCAAGAAAAUUGAUUUUGAUAUUUCCCACCACGGAGAUAUUUGUUCACUAACUAUUUAUAUAUGUUUAAUUGCCAAGGCAGAUUCCAAUAAGAAAAUACCACAUAUUUUCGCAAUUUCAGUGGGACAAGAUGAUUAAGAAAAAAAAAAAAACAGAUGCCCACUGUGGAUCAUUCCUUUGUGAAAUUGUUUAUUAUACCCAGAUGGAAAUUGAUUUAGAUUCUUCCAAUCACACGGAUAUUUAUUAGUAUUCAUAGAUGUUCAAUUGUC
RNA transcript from Alnus glutinosa, 1125 nucleotides. It is a transcript of the gene named protein NONRESPONDING TO OXYLIPINS 2, mitochondrial-like, with no coding region annotated. The record is from RefSeq and is a predicted model, not a curated record. NCBI's taxonomy places the organism in Eukaryota, Viridiplantae, Streptophyta, Magnoliopsida, Fagales, Betulaceae. The transcript has 6 exons.